Molecule: long non-coding RNA, 4018 nt
Organism: Oncorhynchus tshawytscha (Chinook salmon)
Lineage: Eukaryota; Metazoa; Chordata; Actinopteri; Salmoniformes; Salmonidae
Source: Ensembl
CUAUUCAAGCGUUGAUAGGCAUGGUAAUGGACCUAUAGUAUUGGAGAAAAGUUGAAAAAACGGACCCUCCGUUACAUCUAGACGUGUCAUGUAACGUAUAGCAGGCAUAAAGCAACUAUUUCUGUCUUACAAUCUCUCUCCACCAGGUGUAGCACUUCUCUCAUCGUUUAAAAACAAGAAAUGGACAGUGACGGUGGUAAAGGGGGGAUACCUAGUCAUUUUUUCCGUCUUCAUUGCGUGCCAUCAUCAUUCUCAAAGCCGCAGUUUACUUCUAAGAUCACUUUAGCACCGCCCUAAAAACCCGAUUCAAACUCGACACAAACUUUCAAAUAGGUAUGUAAUGACACAUUAUAUAAACUCUUUAUAGUGUUUUAUUUAAAAUUUUUAGAGGCGAUAAGUUCCCACACGACAUCUGUCCUUCUCACUAUCACGCAUUAGUUUCGCUUCCCCACCCGCCAUAAAAAAAAAAAAGAAGACCCGAAGGGGCUCAUUGAUUGAAUUAUGCAGAAACGGGCAGUGUUUAGGUCCUGUAAUUGAUUUUGUUGGAAAGGAGAGAAAUCGUGCAUUGCAAUGGUAUUGACAUUACAGUCUAUCUGGAAGUAUUACGUUUUUGGGGAACUAAAAUAAGGGCAAUUGUAGGGACCAAGGCGAAGUACGAGUUUACGUUAGUCAGUUAACGUUAUUUCUGGUUUUGUAGGUAAAGCAAGGCAGGCUAGCUAACGUUAGCUAGCUAGCUGUUAGCCUACAACUCGGAUUUGCAAGUUUGUUCGUAUGUCAUAAAAGUGUAUUGUCUUGGGCAAAACUAAAUAAUGGAUGCAGCUAUGGUGGUAGCUAACUCACGUCUGAGUCUGACUAAUACAGUGAAGUAGGAGCAACAAACCAUAACGGCGUCUAGAGAUGCAGUUGGUCUACAUCUGUAAAGCAUAGAAUUAGCUUGACCCGCGUUACUACCCUGAUGACACAGACGUCUUCAUCAACAACAGUAAUGUGUGUUAUGUAAAAAGUUGUAUAAAAAAUACCUGGUUUCAUAAACUAGUAGGUUAAUUACCCAGCCAAGCAGAUUCAAGUAGUAGAGUCAUUUUGGUUGAGAAGUGCAUUAUCAAAACGCCUCGUCCAUUCUUUAUAACAAAAUGCAAUUUACCACUUGGCUGUCUAUUGUAUCAUCCUGUCACAAGCUCUUUCAGUCAACAACACCUAAUGAGGAAUUACAUUGUUUAUGAGGAUUGCCUGCUGCAGUUGUUCGAGAGAUGUCUUGUUUGUAGCUGAACAUUCAACAUAGAGAAGACCAGCAAGGGGACCCUCAGCAUCACACAGACAUGCCCUCGCUGUGAGCAUUCCUAUAAAUGGAACAGGGAGGACACUUGAAUCAGGUUGGAGUUUCGAGUUUUGUCCCAAUUCACCUUCAUAACCUAGCCUGGUGGAAUCAGUCUGAUUGCUGCGUUUACCACAUGAUAUCUGAAGUGAAACAGAAAGUUGAAUACAGUGAUGAGGUUGGUUCCACCAUGCUAAUCAGAAGCACCAUUGAUAAUGUAAUCAGUGCUCUGUGUGUGUGUGAACGAUCAGUAUCUUUGAUGAGGGGCCAGUAAUGGGCCGCUGGCAAAGACCUUACCUCUAGCCUUAACUCUUGCCUGCUCACCAAUGGUCCACAAUGUGGAGGUCAGAAUUAGGUAGGUUUAGUCUAACUGCCAUUGGUAAUAGAACUGUGACUGUGUAUGUGUUCACGAUACAGAACCAUGACUGUAUGUGUUCACAAUACGUUUAUGGAGCCUGCACCUGGAGACUUGCAAGAUGAUGUGAUGGAAUCCUGACCGACAGACAGGCUUGAUACUGACUUCGCUGAAUGGAGAGACACCUGGCACUCAACACAUCCACAAUGUGGUUCUGAAGAUGAAGAGUACUAAAGAUGCUUUUGCCAGACGCCAGCCUCGGUCGUUUGAUAGAGGGACCAUAAUUGGGUAGGUUUUAUCUGACCUGUUCAAACUUCAACACAGUACCUGUUUUUCUGUCAGAUACUGUAUUACCUAUCCUAUCUGCCAUUGGUAAUAGAACAGUGUGACGGUGUUCACAGAAACAUGUAUAGAGACAGCACAUGGAAACUUGCAAGAUGUGAUGAAGUCCAGACUGACAGACGGGCUUAAUACUGAUGCCUCCAAAUGGAGAGAGACCUGACACGGCAUUAAAGUUUUACUACACACAACUUGUACUUCUAUUGUUUUUAAAAAUGAUUUAAUAGAAUGGUAUCAGUCAAUAUGGGGAGGGAGAAACCUUGUGUAUUCUGCACCAGGAUCAGGGAACUCCGGUUGUAUACUGAACACCACACAGGAAGAUAUGACAACUCUGACAUGUUUGCCAAGGUAACCCAUUCACCACCAGACAAAAUGCCAAUAGGCACAGUAUCUGUAUCGGCUGGGAAUGACAAUGGAAGCUGAAAGCUGCACAUUGUUAUAUUAGCAGAACUAUGGUAUUAGGGAAUGGGUUGUUUAUUCUACAUGGAUCUGUUACUACAUUUGAAAGUUAUCAAAACUCUUAGCUUAGAAUAUCUACAUAAUUCAGCAAUUGCAUUCUCAUAUUACUCCGUAGGCUACUGACCUAUUCAAAGCUUCCUCUGGCAUCUCACCAUACAUCUGCCUGGAGUUAUUGAACUCAACCUGCAAGAGGGUUGUUUGAUGGAUGCUACCAUGACUACAGAUAAUCCUGAAUAAAUUGUGAAUAACGAUGAGUGAGAAAGUAACAGACGCACAAGUAUCAUACUUCCAAGACAUGCUGACAUCUCACCAUUACAAUAACAGCGGAGGUUAGCAUUUUUGGGGGGUAUGACAUUUGUGCGUCUGUAACGUUCCCAGCUGGCAAUGAGGAAUCGGCCCAGGAGCGGUCCUCUUCCGGGGAACCGGAACUGAUUGGAUUGGCUCGGAACAGCGUGAUGGGACAAGGACAUCCCAAACCCCCAUAACUCGGACGACGCUGGGCCAAUUGUGCAUCGCCUCAUGGGUCUCCCGGUCGCGGCCGGCAUGGGUAUCGAACUAGCAUCUGUAGCAACGCAAUUUGCAAUGCAGUGCUGUGUCUUAGACCGCUGCGCCACUCAUAUUAAAAUUCUACUUAAACAGGACUCUUAACACAAAAUGUUAAUUGUAUUUUUUGAUCACAGAAACAAUAGUUAAAUAAAAAACAGAAAAUAUGGAAUAAAUAAAUGUUAAAUAAAGCAGCCGUGUAAUGAUCUGCAUUUGGAUAACUCACACCGGAAUCAGUCCGAGCUCAAUCCCCGCAUAAGUAAUACCAGCCAUAAGUAAUACUGCCUAAGGUGGCCCAGAUCCACUGUGCUAGCUGGGUUCUCACUCAUCAUUAUUCAUAGUACAUUCAGGAUUUUCCAUAAUCAUGGUAACAUCCACAUUAAUGUGUAAGUGUUUAGAAGCAUAUUCUGUUCUUAUUUACAAUAAAAGUGACCCCAAAAUGACUACAUUAUUUAGUGUUCAUUUCUGUUGGGCACAAGAUAAUCUGAAACACAACCAAAACAAACAGUAAAUGCAUCCAACAAAUUUGCAGAGGCACAAGCUUGAUGUAGUCAUUGCAUGCUAUGAAUAUGGGACCAAAUACUGAACUUUUUACUACUUUAAUGCACAUAAGUGAAUUUGUCCAAAUACUUUUGGACCCCUAAAAUGGGGGGGGGGGGACUAUGUACAAAAAGGGUUGUAAUUUCUAAACGGUUCACCCGAUAUGGAUGAAAAUACCCUCAAAUUAAAUCUGACAGUCUGGACUUUAACCUCAUAGUCAUUGUUUGAUUUUAAAUUUAGAGCCAAAAUGAAGAAAAAAUGCUUCACUGUCCAAUUAAUUACAGAGGGCACUGUAUAUUGAGGCAAAAAAAUGGACAGUAGCCAAAUAGUUAAAUGAAACUCAAUUGAAUGAACAUGAAAUAUCAUUGAAAGACAGUAUAUAGGCCUAUGUAGCCUACACUGUAGGUAGGCUUUUUUAUCCUUAGCUUGUUUGUAACAAUGGCAAAGACUUUGGCAUCUUUGUAUUUGUA